GAAAUAAUAUUUUUCAAAGUUUUUAAUUACAGUCUGUUUUGGGGGCCACUGAACUAGUUUGUGGUCGACCCAUAGCAAAAUGAAAAUUGUAAUUCCGGUUUGGAGCCGAUAAGAAGAUUAAAAUGGUAUCGGGCCAAUUUUAAUUAGCAUUCGAUAAAUGCAAAUCUUGCAAACGCAUCGCAACUGUAUUGGGUUCGUCUGAAAAUGUUCGACAUUGACAGCGAGAAGUGAGGAUUGAUUGGGCCACGGUUGCCAUUUGGCCAAGCUCUGAGCCACCUUUUGUGCUUGGCUGCUCGGCAUUGAUGGCCAUUCAUGGAUAUAUUCGCCCCUUUAAAAGCCCUUUGAGCUUCAAUGACAACCAUUACAUUUAAGAUUGUAGAUCAUUAUUGAUAUUUCAAUUAUGAGUCGUAUAUGAAUUUUGCGCCUAUUUACAUCACUCUAAACCGGUUGCUUUAACAGACGUCUUGCAAGGAAGAAUCUAGAGAAACCAAGGAAAGCUGCUGGCUGAACUUGCUAGUUGGGUCCACCUCUUGUUAGUUGCAGUGCGCAUCAGGAAUGAAAGCUCAACCUGCCAAGCACGUCAUAUGUAUGAUAAUAUGGAGAAUGUGUGUGCUUGAGUGAUCUGUCAAUUUGCAGGUAAACGAAUUAUCCCAGCAUUUGGCAUUAUGCAAGUACUUCAAUCGCCCCAACUCGCAUUCCGCCUUUCCGGCAACAGCAAGUGUCUGUUUAAUGACCUGCCCAGGGCAAUGCCGUUGCUGUUGCCGUUGCCGUUGUCGAUGCCGAUGGCAAUAUUUACGCAUGCCAUGUACCACCUUUCAUAUGUUGCGGGGCGUGUUUAUUAUAUACGGUAAUUCGAAGGUGAACCGGGCAGCAGAGGUGGAAAGCAGCAAGCAAAAAGUAAACCAAUGCCGAGGGUCUUCU
Long non-coding RNA from Drosophila novamexicana, 921 nucleotides. RefSeq lists it as uncharacterized. The transcript has 3 exons. NCBI's taxonomy places the organism in Eukaryota, Metazoa, Arthropoda, Insecta, Diptera, Drosophilidae. The record is from RefSeq and is a predicted model, not a curated record.